AUUGAACGCUGGCGGCAUGCCUUACACAUGCAAGUCGAACGGCAGCACGGACGUCGGUCUGGUGGCGAGUGGCGAACGGGUGAGUAAUGUAUCGGAACGUACCUUUCAGUGGGGGAUAACGUAGCGAAAGAUACGCUAAUACCGCAUAUUCUGUGAGCAGGAAAGCAGGGGAUCGAAAGACCUUGCGCUGAUUGAGCGGCCGACGCCUGAUUAGCUAGUUGGUGGGGUAAAGGCCUACCAAGGCGACGAUCUGUAGCGGGUCUGAGAGGAUGAUUCGCCACACUCGUACAUCACCACGCUCCAGUCGCUGGCGACAGGCAGUCUCUUUAAUUUCCGGACACAGCGAGAACACUUCACCGCAUCUAGUCGCGUUAGUGAUAGACCACUCCGUGUUGUCAACCUCAUCCUGCCUGGAAGACGUACCGUAAAGGAAUUCACUGGUUGCAUGACGCUACCCGGUAUAAUAGCCCCGGCUAACUCCGUG
This 484-nucleotide ribosomal RNA is filed under the name uncultured bacterium. RNAcentral describes it as "partial 16S ribosomal RNA". It matches the Rfam family "Bacterial small subunit ribosomal RNA", at positions 30 to 507 of the family's 1533-position model. The record is from RNAcentral.